Geobacillus sp. BCO2 is the source of this 108-nucleotide non-coding RNA. The record is from Rfam. NCBI's taxonomy places the organism in Bacteria, Bacillati, Bacillota, Bacilli, Caryophanales, Anoxybacillaceae.
GAACGCCGUGUGCGGGGAAACUCGCACGCACGGUGUGAAGCGGGGGAAAAUAGCCCCUCCGGGUAAUGCCGAGGGUGACUAUUACCUAUCGCUAUCGCUCGACCCCAU